UACGUAGGGUGCAAGCGUUAAUCGGAAUUACUGGGCGUAAAGCGUGCGCAGGCGGUUUUGUAAGUCAGGUGUGAAAUCCCCGGGCUUAACCUGGGAACUGCAUUUGAGACUGCAUAGCUAGAGUACGGUAGAGGGGGAUGGAAUUCCGCGUGUAGCAGUGAAAUGCGUAGAUAUGCGGAGGAACACCGAUGGCGAAGGCAAUCCCCUGGACCUGUACUGACGCUCAUGCACGAAAGCGUGGGGAGCAAACAGG
Molecule: ribosomal RNA, 253 nt
Filed under: uncultured bacterium
Lineage: Bacteria
Description: partial 16S ribosomal RNA
Rfam family: Bacterial small subunit ribosomal RNA
Source: RNAcentral